AUUAUUCUUUUUUCAAUAUUUCAAAAUAUAUUAUAUUAAAUCUAAAUUUUUAAAAUACAAAUUCAAAUAUAACAUCAAAUUUAUAUAUAUAUAUAUAUAUAUUAUAUAUAAUACAAAAUAAAUUCGGGUUUGGGUCGGGUUCGGGUUCGGGUUCGGGUCGGGUACAAUCAAAAUCCAUAUUCGAAUCCAUGUCCGCCGGAUUUCUAUUUUUUAUAUCCAUAUCCGAAUUCAUAUCCAUAUCCAUCGGAUAUAUCCAUUUCAUUCGGGUUCGGGUUCGGAUAAAAUUUCGAACAUUCCUACUUCCACGUAAAA
RNAcentral lists this long non-coding RNA (312 nucleotides) under Ananas comosus (pineapple). RNAcentral's name for it is "long non-coding RNA (ACOM_LNC029726)". Lineage: Eukaryota; Viridiplantae; Streptophyta; Magnoliopsida; Poales; Bromeliaceae. The record is from RNAcentral.